RNAcentral lists this unclassified non-coding RNA (322 nucleotides) under Hevea brasiliensis (rubber tree). Lineage: Eukaryota; Viridiplantae; Streptophyta; Magnoliopsida; Malpighiales; Euphorbiaceae. The record is from RNAcentral.
GGCCAAAGUCCUGCUGGCUCUGAUUGAAAAAUAAAGAAGAGGCCUAGCGAAUGUCGCUGUCAGCUGUCUUUCUCCUGUAGAGGCGCUAGCAUUGGAGCUUAGUGAGCUUGGAGCCCGAGGUGUGCCUUUAAUAACUAUGCUUGAUAACCUGCUACGUCUAUACAUAUUUUAGAGAGACUAUUAUUAUGAUUGUUAUGGCGAAUUUAUAAAAAUUUUGAGAAUUAGCUUCUCUAGAGAAUUAGUUUCUCUUUCUUUUGAGAAUUUAUUUUUCUUGAUUCUUGAGCUCUUGUUCAGCAUCACUAGUCUUAUUAGUAACUAAUUA